Molecule: ribosomal RNA, 496 nt
Filed under: uncultured bacterium
Lineage: Bacteria
Description: partial 16S ribosomal RNA
Rfam family: Bacterial small subunit ribosomal RNA
Source: RNAcentral
GAUGAACGCUGGCGGCGUGCCUAAUACAUGCAAGUCGAGCGAACAGACGAGGAGCUUGCUCCUCUGACGUUAGCGGCGGACGGGUGAGUAACACGUGGAUAACCUACCUAUAAGACUGGGAUAACUUCGGGAAACCGGAGCUAAUACCGGAUAAUAUAUUGAACCGCAUGGUUCAAUAGUGAAAGACGGUUUUGCUGUCACUUAUAGAUGGAUCCGCGCCGCAUUAGCUAGUUGGUAAGGUAACGGCUUACCAAGGCAACGAUGCGUAGCCGACCUGAGAGGGUGAUCGGCCACACUGGAACUGAGACACGGUCCAGACUCCUACGGGAGGCAGCAGUAGGGAAUCUGCCGCAAUGGGCGAAAGCUUGACGGAGCAACGCCGCGUGAGUGAUGAAGGUCUUCGGAUCGUAAAACUCUGUUAUUAGGGAAGAACAAAUGUGUAAGUAACGAUGCACGUCUUGACGGUACCUAAUCAGAAAGCCACGGCUAACUACGU